AUUUCUGAAAGAAAAGAAAAAAAAAGAAUAUUUUGAAAUGAGUUUUCCAAGGAGAAAAAUAUUUUCUUAGAUUAAAUGUAAUUUUUUAUAUUUAUCUAUCCAUUACCAUCAAUUAUUGAUUUAAACAGAAAAGUGCAUAUCAAUUAUCGAGUAAUAUUCACCAAAAUUCCUUUAUAAAAAAUAAAAUACCGAAUCCAUUUGAGAUGGUAUUAUAAAAGUUCCUAUGAUUUUAUCCUCGGUGAAUCAUCAAUGUAACGAGAAGAAGACUCACACUUUUAUGGUGACGACAUCAAAACUAUUACUACGAUAUAUAUAGCCCAACAAGCGAGAGUACCGUAAUCAGUAUCCGCACUAGGAGUAUAAUCCAGUAAACUAACGAGGCCAUUAUCCCGAACUCUUGAAUUUGGUAACGGUAGGACGUCGCCUCGCGUUCCAUUGAAGCUCCAGGAAAAUCGAAUCAACUCGUCUGGAACUGCUUCGAUUUCGCAUCUCAAGGUUACUGUUUCGUGUCGAACAGCCGCUAUUUCUCGCCUCUCAUAACCCUCUCUACAUCUUGGAGCAUCUGCAUGUCAUUGAAUAAUACAAUUUUCAUUUCCUUUUUUUCAACGAUCUUUACUUUCUUUUUAUAUAUUUUAUUUAUUCUAUAACUAUACUUACACUUCAUGUGAAUAAGAAGAGGCAAACUACGUCCUUGUCCAACAAAGUUUGUAGCUUCGCAAGAGUAUUCACCAGAGUGGUCGAGAGUGAGAACACGAAGAGUGAGCGUAUUGGAGGAUAUCAAAAUACCGGCGCUCACGUCAUGUUCUAAUCGUAUAUCCUGAAUUAAAGAAUUCUUUAUUAUCUUUUAUUUCUAGUUUAUAUAUAUAUAUACUUUUUUUUUUUUAAUUUUCUAUUAUCUCUAGCGAUAUGUUUCCAAGGAAGCAUACUUACGUCGUGAUACCAAGUGACCUUUGUCGGCGGUGGAUUGCUCUGAACGUCGCAGACCAAUUUCAGAUCAUCCCCUUCUCUCAAUGUAUUUAGAAUAUAUCCUGUUGCCAGGUGAGCCGUUAGGACCGGUGCAUCUGUCAAUUGAUAUUAUUAAAGAAACUGAAAUAUCUAGCAAAACAUAGAAUUUCGAAAAGUAUUAGAAAACUUACAAAGAACGCGAAGAGAUUUUGUUUCUUCGAGAACGCCACCAGGAAAUCUAGGAUUUUCAGCUUUGCAAGCAAGUUCUUUGCCAUCGUCAUUUUUUCCGAGAGCAAGAACGAUCUUACUAACGGUGGAAUUACUUCUCUGUGUAAUGGAAACAAUAGGAUCACCGAUCACUUCGUCGCCUAAUCUCCAAAUAAUUCUGGCAGCUGGAGAACUACCCCAAGUUUCGCAUUUUGCAGCGAUCGGACGACCGGCGUACAUUUCUUCGUCGCUCAAAAUGAUUUUCACCACGGCCGGUUUAACUGAAAUAACAAUGAAGAAAUUGAUGAACGGUGUUUACAAUGGCUCGUGCAACUUGACUUUUGACGUUCAGCAAACACAAUAUAUAUUUGUGAUAUCUACUUGGGUGGUUUGCGAUCAUGAUAUGGCGUUCUGUUUUUAAUACAUAUCUAUUUACUGAUAUAGUUAUAUAUCUAUAUCACUCGUCGUACAGUUUCCCAGAUGACGGAUGAUCCUUGCAGGGGUGAUACUGAUGUCUUUUUUUCUACAAUUGCUGAAAAUAAAUCGUGCAAAUUCUUUCGCUACGAACCUGGAACCUCUUAGGUAUUCAACCUCGUAUGGAAUCCGAGACAACGUAGUGGAAAAUACUUAGAGAAGCGGAUAUUUAUCGAUUCACUAAAAUUCUUUCGACAUUUUAUCGAAAUGGAACAUCUUUCUCGUAACGAUUAUUUCAAUGUCCAAAAUUGUUCUACAAUAUGAUAUCGAAGAAUACGAGAAAAAUAAUUCAAGUAUACUAUAAUAAGGACAUUCUAUGUGUCUGGUAUAGUUGAAAUUUAUUUUAUUAAUUUUUUUCUAACCUUUUAUCUAUUUGACGCAACGGGCAAGAUAUUACAUUCUUUUCUUUUACUUUAUAACGAUGAAAGAUUUCAUUCAAAAGUUAUAAAACGAAAUAAGCGGAUGGCGAGAAAUUCCUAGCAGAAUUCUUUUAAGAAACAGGAUGCCGUGCCGUUGGCGCCAGAGAUUAAUAAUGUAAUUACAGUCUCAACGAACGGACGACGUCGCGAAGCUUGCCAAAUCAAAUCGCCACCCGUCCUGUCCUAUUCCAUCGCGUGUCAAUUUUAUACAACUUUCGUCUGAUGCGUCAUGUUAAACGCAUGACUUCUUUUGGUCAAAACAAUCCAUUUUUUUUCUUUCCUUACAUUUUCUUAAAUAGUUUCAAGAAUAUUCAAUUAAAGUUACAGAUCAAAAUUUUGAAAAAUGACGAAGUAAUAACGAUAAUAGCAAUGGGAUAAUUGGCGAUCUGAAUUAAUGCUUUCAAAUCGAACAACUAUUUCAUCCCUUAACUUUUCUUUACCGUUUUAAAUCUUUUUAUUUUAUUUCAAGCUCUAGAUUGCCGUACAAAUUUACGUAGGUAUCACGUCAAAUCAUACUUUGACAAAUAUUUACGCCAAUGGCUGAGAAUCAGCCAUUUAUCAUUAUUCUUAAAUGAAAAAAUUUACAUUUUAAUCUUCG
Vespa mandarinia (Asian giant hornet) is the source of this 2643-nucleotide long non-coding RNA. The record is from RefSeq and is a predicted model, not a curated record. Lineage: Eukaryota; Metazoa; Arthropoda; Insecta; Hymenoptera; Vespidae.